CUUUAUAUCCCACUACGUUCAGAUAAAAC
This is a non-coding RNA of Bacillus smithii, 29 nucleotides long. The record is from Rfam. NCBI's taxonomy places the organism in Bacteria, Bacillati, Bacillota, Bacilli, Caryophanales, Bacillaceae.